This 469-nucleotide ribosomal RNA is filed under the name uncultured bacterium. Its description in RNAcentral is "partial 16S ribosomal RNA". It matches the Rfam family "Bacterial small subunit ribosomal RNA", at positions 28 to 507 of the family's 1533-position model. The record is from RNAcentral.
GACGAACGCUGGCGGCGUGCUUAACACAUGCAAGUCGAACGGAAAGGCCCUGCUUGCAGGGUGCUCGAGUGGCGAACGGGUGAGUAACACGUGGGUGAUCUGCCCCUUACUUUGGGAUAAGCCUGGGAAACUGGGUCUAAUACUGGAUAGGACCAUGCUGUAGGGGGUGUGGUGGAAAGAUUAGUUUCGGUAAGGGAUGAGCUCGCGGCCUAUCAGCUUGUUGGUGGGGUAAUGGCCUACCAAGGCGUCGACGGGUAGCCGGCCUGAGAGGGUGGACGGCCACAUUGGGACUGAGAUGCGGCCCAGACUCCUACGGGAGGCAGCAGAGGGGAAUAUUGCACAAUGGGCGCAAGCCUGAUGCAGCGACGCCGCGUGGGGGAUGACGGCCUUCGGGUUGUAAACUCCUUUCAGCCAUGACGAAGCCCUUGUGGUGACGGUAGUGGUAGAAGAAGCACCGGCUAACUACGUG